GAUGAACGCUCGCGGCAGGCCUAAUACAUGCAAGUCGGACGGGAUCCAUUGAUAGCUUGCUCUCAAUGGUGAGAGUGGCGCACGGGUGCGUAACGCGUGAGCAACCUGCCUCCAUCAGGGGGAUAGCCUCUCGAAAGAGAGAUUAACACCGCAUAAUAUCAACAGUUCGCAUGUUCAGUUGAUUAAAUAUUUAUAGGAUGGAGAUGGGCUCGCGUGACAUUAGCUAGUUGGUAGGGUAACGGCUUACCAAGGCGACGAUGUCUAGGGGCUCUGAGAGGAGAAUCCCCCACACUGGUACUGAGACACGGACCAGACUCCUACGGGAGGCAGCAGUAAGGAAGAUUGGUCAAUGGGCGGAAGCCUGAACCAGCCAUGCCGCGUGCAGGAUGACUGCCCUAUGGGUUGUAAACUGCUUUUGGCCAGGAAUAAACCUAAAUACGAGUAUUUAGCUGAAUGUACUGGAAGAAUAAGGAUCGGCUAACUCCGUG
This 488-nucleotide ribosomal RNA is filed under the name uncultured bacterium. RNAcentral describes it as "partial 16S ribosomal RNA". It matches the Rfam family "Bacterial small subunit ribosomal RNA", at positions 28 to 507 of the family's 1533-position model. The record is from RNAcentral.